This 253-nucleotide ribosomal RNA is filed under the name uncultured bacterium. RNAcentral describes it as "partial 16S ribosomal RNA". It matches the Rfam family "Bacterial small subunit ribosomal RNA", at positions 524 to 776 of the family's 1533-position model. The record is from RNAcentral.
GACGUAGGGGGCGAGCGUUGUCCGGAUUUAUUGGGCGUAAAGCGUGCGUAGGCGGCUGCGCAAGUCGAUUGUGAAACCCCGGGGCUCAACCCCGGAACUGCAUCCGAUACUGCGUGGCUAGAGGUAGGUAGGGGAGAUCGGAAUUCCUGGUGUAGCGGUGAAAUGCGCAGAUAUCAGGAGGAACACCGGUGGCGAAGGCGGAUCUCUGGGCCUUACCUGACGCUCAGGCACGAAAGCUAGGGGAGCGAACAGG